This 29-nucleotide non-coding RNA is filed under the name Rattus norvegicus (Norway rat). Lineage: Eukaryota; Metazoa; Chordata; Mammalia; Rodentia; Muridae. The record is from RNAcentral.
UGAUGAAGGUCCUGCACUGGAUAACAGUC